RNAcentral lists this unclassified non-coding RNA (487 nucleotides) under Hevea brasiliensis (rubber tree). The record is from RNAcentral. Lineage: Eukaryota; Viridiplantae; Streptophyta; Magnoliopsida; Malpighiales; Euphorbiaceae.
CUUCGGUCCGACUCUCUCCAAAUUCGACCGAAACAUUAGGCUUGAAUCCAUUUCUCACUGCUCGGGCGUUCGAGAACUGAAAAUGGAACGAUGGAGAUCGCGUUUCUCGCAUGGAAUGAGGGAAACGAUGAGAACCGUGACAAUGCGCAAAUCUAACGCCCUCGUUUCUGAGGGAGAUGUGAGUGGUGUAAUCGAUGAAGCAGGUGGUGCUGGAGAGAGAGAGGCGGAGAUCCAGAUAAACCCUAGGGAUGAUGAUCGUAUCGGCGGCCCUCCUCUCGAUGAUUGUUGCCCCAUCUGUUUCGGUGCCUUCACUGUUCCUUGCAAAGCCAAUUGCGGCCACUGGUUUUGCGGCAGUUGCAUUCUGCAAUAUUGGAAUUAUUCUGCCGCAUCUAAGCCUUGCAAGUGUCCCAUGUGCACUUCUGGCAUUACCAAGUUGACACCAGAGGCAUCAUUACACAGGCAGCACGAACAAGAAGUUACCAAAGUU